GGUAACUUGGUUGGGUGUUCUUCUCUGCUGUGUAGGCUUUGUUCUUUUGCUCUUUGCAGUAAAUGUUGCUGCUGCUGACUGUUGGGUCCCAGCCGUCUUUAAAAGCUAUUACACUCACGGUGAAGGUCUGUGGUUUCACUCCUGAAAUCAAGCGAGUGUACGAACCCACCGGAAGGAAGAAACUCCAGACUCCGAAGGAACAAACUCUGGACACACCAAAUGUAAGAAUUGUAACACUCACCGCGACGGUCCGUGGCGUCCACCCUCGCAGCUUCUUUCUUGAAGUCGCCGAGACCAAGAGCGCACCGAAAGGAACCAAUUGUGGACACAUCCGUUUUAGUGGAAUAAUAGUCCUUGGUUCUCUGGACAACCGGGAGAAUUGCAUUUUCUGAGGCCCACGAUAAGCACCCAACCGUUAAUAUUUCCAUGCUUCUCUGUCCAUCCCAUGGAGCCUGGGGCUUGAGGGACUGUGCAGUGAGGCAGCAACUCACAUCUCCAGCUGUUGGACUGGUCCUGCCAGCGACGUCUGCUCAGUAGAACAAGCAGCACUUCCCCCAGCUCAGCACUGUCUCAUUUCUGAGACUGAACACCCCGUGGUCACUCUACAUGGAUGGGUUAAUUUCCCUUGGAAAAGUAUUGAUGAUCAAGUGAUGCUAGCAGCAACAGUGUUAAAGGCUUUAACGCUUUUAAAGGUGAGACUUUUGGGAGUUGAUUAGGUCAUGAGGAUGGAGCCUGGUGAAUGGGAUCAGUGAAAGAGGCCUGAUGUGAGAUGUCUUUAGCUAUGUCAAAGAGGCAGACAGUGCAAAGCCCAUCACUCAAGAAACCUCUCCACAACCAGAGCUGCUGCACCUCCUUGUUUUGUUCGGUUGGAUGCAUUGUUAAAGGUUGAUUUGUUUGCAGUUCAGACAAUGGGUACCACCAUCAAAAGCAGCAGAUUCAAGUCAGCAAAUGUUUGAGCAAGCAGGGCAUUAUCCAAUCAGCCUUACCUAUUUGGGAUUCAAGCUUGAAAGGCCCCUCAGAAAGACAAUAAACAGUUUCCUUGACACAUCGAAUGAAGUCCAAACCAAACAAAUUCCUCGCUAGGCAAGAUCUGGAGUCUGACACUUUUUCUUUGAUUGGGACAUACAAAAAAAAGUGUCCUCAUGAUUGGUACCGAAAAAAUAACGGAUUCCUUUCUCAUUGGGCCCACCUUUUCCUAAAUGUCAUUUAGUUCGUUUUUAUCUAUUUAUGAACUUUUAUUCCUUUUGCUGUUAAAAAUGAACAACAAAGUAAUAAUGCACCAUCAAGAGGAAAAACUAAGUUCGCACUCUGGCUUCUCAUACGUGUGCAAGUGUAUAAAACCAUGUUUUCAGAUGGAUUUUAAAAUGGUCAUGGAGCUCUUCUUUGAAUAUCAAUAUUCACGUGCUGUGUUUUCAUAGUUCCUUGGUAUUUAUAUGACGGCUCUCUAAUGUUUUAAAGCAAUUCAUUUUGUCAGGAAUGUAAGUGGUUUCCAAAUUUCCACUCUCCAAACCGCACUGCACGGCAGUGAACAUUCCUAUAACUAAAUCUAUGCUCAUGUCCUUACAGUUAAAUUUCCUGCACUGGAAUUACUGGGUUAGGAUAAGAACAUUUUCAAGACUGUUGAAAUAUUUGCCACACUUUCCUCUAGAUAAGUUGUUCCGAUUUUCGCCCCAUUGGCAAUACGUACUCUUUGAAGUAUUAUACUGUUGAAAAUAUGUGUCAAAUAAAUGAAUUCUCAAUGUU
This is a long non-coding RNA of Homo sapiens (human), 1743 nucleotides long. Ensembl annotates it as long intergenic non-protein coding RNA 2096. The record is from Ensembl. NCBI's taxonomy places the organism in Eukaryota, Metazoa, Chordata, Mammalia, Primates, Hominidae.